AUAUUAAUCAACGGUGAGCUUCAGAAAAAUAAAUGCCUCCUCCUGAGAAAAGUACAAGAAGCAACGGCUGAAAUAGUUACCCACAUUGAAAGAAUCUACAAAAGAAGAAUUACCAAAUUGAAUGAAAGAAUAGAUACAACAGAGAUAAAAAUUAAGGCUAACACAUCAUUGGUAAGUGUACUGUAUUGCUCGAGUUCUCUGUUUUAUUUCUAUUUUUCCUAAAGGUGAUGCCCACUAAAGGUCUUGAGCAAUGAUAAGGAAGAAGUGGGUUAAUGGACCUACAGCUUUAGAGAGCCAAGCGUAAUUUUUUUAGUAAAACCGAAUCUUGUUCCUCUAUAUUUAUGAUGAUGUUGAUUGUGAUGAUGAUAAUGAUGAAGACGACAACAACGACAAAGAUUAUGAAAAUGACAUUCAUUUUAAUUCAGAUUCUAAUAUGGAUAUGGAGAAAACAGCUUCACCGGUACCUAACUGCUCAAUCAGUUGAAAAAACGGAAGAUAUGUGGACUCUGCUACAAAUCUGUACCUUUUGAACAAACACAGUGACUGGCCUACGUUAGGUGUUUUAAUGUAAAAUGGACAAUAAGCCCCGACGUUAAGCAGCUCUUUGACUAAAAUCAAAGAUGAUGAAAAAGAUUGCCUUAUGAACAUUACCUAGUUUCGAGUAGUAUUUUUUUUUUAUUUGGUUAUUUCAAUUUUUACAUGUAAACUUUUAUUGAAUGUAUUCGAUAAAAGGCGAUUUCCAUGUGAACGAUAAUGAUUGCCAAAAUCAAGGAUGAUGAAGAUUUUUGACUCAUGAACAUGACCUAGUUUCAAGUGUUUUUUCAAAAUUGCUUUUUUAAUAUUUUCAUGAGAACUUGUAAUAAAUGUAUGCCAAAUCAA
Nilaparvata lugens (brown planthopper) is the source of this 879-nucleotide long non-coding RNA. RefSeq lists it as uncharacterized. The record is from RefSeq and is a predicted model, not a curated record. NCBI's taxonomy places the organism in Eukaryota, Metazoa, Arthropoda, Insecta, Hemiptera, Delphacidae. The transcript is spliced from 4 exons.